Molecule: ribosomal RNA, 361 nt
Filed under: Corynebacterium sp. HMSC063G05
Lineage: Bacteria; Bacillati; Actinomycetota; Actinomycetes; Mycobacteriales; Corynebacteriaceae
Description: bacterial LSU rRNA
Rfam family: Bacterial large subunit ribosomal RNA
Source: RNAcentral
GGGUGAGGCGUGAUGCGUACCCGUAUUUGGGGAAGUUGGUGAUCCUAUGCUGCCGAGAAAAGCCUCUAGCGAUGUGGAUAUACGGCCCGUACCCGAAACCGACACAGGUAGUCAGGUAGAGAAUACUAAGGCGAUCGGGAGAACUGUGGUUAAGGAACUCGGCAAAAUGCCCCCGUAACUUCGGGAGAAGGGGGGCCAUGACUGGUGACCGACGUGGUUGAGCUGGUUGUGGCCGCAGAGAAUAGAGGGAAGCGACUGUUUACUAAAAACACAGGUCCGUGCGAAGACGGGUAAGUCGAUGUAUACGGACUGACGCCUGCCCGGUGCUGGAAGGUUAAGAGGACCUGUUAGACCCUUUGUG